UGGUAGGGAUGAUUAUUGGGCUUAAAGCGUCCGUAGCCGGCCCGGCAAGUCUCCCGUUAAAUCCAGCGACCUAAUCGUUGAGCCGCGGGAGACACUACUAGGCUAGGAGGCGGGAGAGGCCGACGGUAUUCUCGGGGUAGGGGUGAAAUCCUAUAAUCCCGGGAGGACCACCAGUGGCGAAG
RNAcentral lists this ribosomal RNA (182 nucleotides) under Candidatus Bathyarchaeota archaeon. Its description in RNAcentral is "partial 16S ribosomal RNA". It matches the Rfam family "Archaeal small subunit ribosomal RNA", at positions 489 to 671 of the family's 1478-position model. Lineage: Archaea; Thermoproteati; Candidatus Bathyarchaeota. The record is from RNAcentral.